Equus caballus (horse) is the source of this 123-nucleotide non-coding RNA. Lineage: Eukaryota; Metazoa; Chordata; Mammalia; Perissodactyla; Equidae. The record is from RefSeq and is marked provisional.
GACCUGGCACUUGGGCUGGGGCUGCUGAUGGCACUCGCUCGGGGUCUGGAGCAGCUGAGGGCGCUGCUGGCGGCUCCAGCGCUAGAAGUGAUGGCAGAAAUAGAACUGGAGUUCCGUCCAGCU